CCUACGGGGUGCAGCAGUGGGGGAUAUUGCACAAUGGGGGGAACCCUGAUGCAGCGACGCCGCGUGAGCGAUGGAGUACUUCGGUAUGUAAAGCUCUGUCAGCAGGGAAGAAAAUGACGGUACCUGACCAAGAAGCCCCGGCUAACUACGGGCCAGCAGCCGCGGUAAUACGUAGGGAGCAAGCGUUGUUCGGAAUGACUGGGCGUAAAGGGUGCGUAGGCAGUUGUACAAGUUAGAAGUGAAAUACCCAGGGCUUAACUCGGGUGCUGCUUCUAAAACUGUAUGACUUGAGUGCAGUAGAGGUUAGUGGAAUUCCUAGUGUAGCGGUGGAAUGCGUAGAUAUUAGGAGGAACACCAGAGGCGAAGGCGGCUAACUGGACUGCAACUGACGCUGAGGCACGAAAGUGUGGGGAGCAAACAGGAUUAGAUACCCUUGUAGUC
Molecule: ribosomal RNA, 441 nt
Filed under: uncultured bacterium
Lineage: Bacteria
Description: partial 16S ribosomal RNA
Rfam family: Bacterial small subunit ribosomal RNA
Source: RNAcentral